AACGAACGCUGGCGGCGCGCCUAAUACAUGCAAGUCGAACGAGAAGCUGUAGCAAUACAGUUGUACAGUGGCGAACGGGUGAGGAAUACAUGGGUGACCUACCCUCGAGUGGGGAAUAACCAGCCGAAAGGUUGGCUAAUACCGCGUACGCUUCCCAGUCUACGGGUUGGGAAGGAAAGCGAUGCCGUGGGUAUCGCGCUCAAGGUUGGGCUCAUGUCCUAUCAGCUUGNGGUGGGGUAACGGCUCACCAAGGCAACGACGGGUAGCUGGUCUGAGAGGACGAUCAGCCACACUGGCACUGCGACACGGGCCAGACUCCUACGGGAGGCAGCAGUAAGGAAUAUUGCGCAAUGGGGCAAAGCCUGACGCAGCGACGCCGCGUGGGGGAUGAAGGUCUUCGGAUUGUAAACCCCUUUCGGGAGGGAAGAUGGAACGAGCAAUCGUUCGGACGGUACCUCCAGAAGCAGCCACGGCUAACUUCGUGCCAGCAGCAGCCG
RNAcentral lists this ribosomal RNA (497 nucleotides) under uncultured bacterium. Its description in RNAcentral is "bacterial SSU rRNA". It matches the Rfam family "Bacterial small subunit ribosomal RNA", at positions 29 to 520 of the family's 1533-position model. The record is from RNAcentral.